GUGUGCCUACGGGACGCAGCAGUGGGGAAUAUUGCACAAUGGGGGGAACCCUGAUGCAGCGACGCCGCGUGAGUGAAGAAGUAUUUCGGUAUGUAAAGCUCUCUCAGCAGGGAAGAAAAUGACGGUACCUGACUAAGAAGCCCCGGCUAACUACGUGCCAGCAGCCGCGGUAAUACGUAGGGGGCAAGCGUUAUCCGGAUUUACUGGGUGUAAAGGGAGCGUAGACGGCAGAGCAAGUCUGAAGUGAAAGCCCGCGGCCCAACUGCGGGACGGCUUUGGAAACUGCCCGGCU
This 292-nucleotide ribosomal RNA is filed under the name uncultured bacterium. RNAcentral's name for it is "partial 16S ribosomal RNA". It matches the Rfam family "Bacterial small subunit ribosomal RNA", at positions 334 to 642 of the family's 1533-position model. The record is from RNAcentral.